Molecule: unclassified non-coding RNA, 1464 nt
Filed under: uncultured fungus
Lineage: Eukaryota; Fungi
Description: sequence contains 18S rRNA gene, ITS1, 5.8S rRNA gene, ITS2, 28S rRNA gene
Rfam family: Eukaryotic large subunit ribosomal RNA (bases 494-1464)
Source: RNAcentral
GGAAGGAUCAUUAACACUAAUCCAAUCAACUCAACGAAGCCUUCAGUUGCAUUUGCAGCAUGUCUUCGGAUAUGCAGCAUCUGCAGCAACAAUAAAACUAACUACGCAAAGGAGCCUAACUAAGAAACUUUUAAAAACCAAAUUCUCAACGAUGGAUAUCUUGGUUCCCAUAACGAUGAAGAACGCAGCGAAGUGCGAUAAGCAAUGCGAAUUGCAGAACCGUGAGUCAUCAGAUUUUUGAACGCAACUGGCGCCGACUGGCUCUCCAGUCGGCAUGCUUGUUUCAGUGUCUUAUUUUCUCAUCACCCAAAUCCUAAUGCGAGAGAUACCCUUCUCUUGCUAAACAUGAAAGCACUCUGUGCUCUGCCAGCGGCUUCUAGGCCUAGCCUAGAGUCGCACUCAAUGCAGCCGUCACAUUGCUCACAAUGUGAACUCAUUGAGAGCAGAGACAGUCAGCGAAAGCUGUCAGUGCUUAGCCACUCAAACUUUAUCUGUAUCUGAAAUCAAGCAGGAUCACCCGCUGAACUUAAGCAUAUCACUAAGCGGAGGAAAAGAAAUUAACUAAGAUUGCCUCAGUAACGGCGAGUGAAGCGGCAAGAGCCCAAACUGGAAAUCUUCACACUUUGUGUGACGAAUUGUAAUCUAUAGAUGGUUCGCUCACCGGGUGGUGGCGCAGAAGUGGCCUCGAACGGCCCGCCAAAGAGGGUGACAGCCCCGUAUGUGGUGCCACUGCCUAACGAGCGGAUUGUCCAAGAGUCGGGUUGUUUUGUAUUGCAGCCCUAAGCGGGAGAUAAACUUCUUCUAAGGCUAAAUAUAUAUGGGAAACCGAUAGCGAACAAGUACUGUGAAGGAAAGAUGAAAAGAACUUUGAAAAGAGAGUUAAAAGACUUGAAAUCGUUGAGAAGGAAGCGGUAGAAAUUUAUUCUUCGGCUGCGGCCGGUGUCGGUUGCCUAACCAUUGCUGGUUGUCAGUACCGUAAGGGCUGCUGCUAGUACCUGGGGAAGCGGCCGGCUUGGUCGUAGUCGUGAGGCAAAAUGAGGUCGCGUUCCCGCAGAAGCUUCUUUAGCCUGGCCUGCUUCGGUGGGCAGCUUUGGUGUGCUGGCGGGGGUGCGGCCUGAGGGGCUUUGUGCGAUUUUGCCAAAAUGGUUUUUACCGACCCGUCUUGAAACACGGACCAAGGAGUCUAACAUAUAUGCGAGUGUGCUGGUGGAAAAACCAACACGCGUAAUGAAAGUGAUUGAUGCCAAGCGCAAGCGGCAGCAUCGACCGACCAUGAUCCUCUGGUGAAAGGUUUGAGUAAGAGCAUAUCUGUUAGGACCCGAAAGAUGGUGAACUAUGCCUGAGUAGGGUGAAGCCAGGGGAAACUCUGGUGGAGGCUCGUAGCGGUACUGACGUGCAAAUCGUUCGUCAAACUUGGGUAUAGGGGCGAAAGACUAAUCGAACCAUCUAGUAGCUGGUUCCCUC